UGGCAGGGCAUCCCUGCCCUUCCGUAACUGCUCUUCGGAGUU
Synechococcus sp. RS9917 is the source of this 42-nucleotide non-coding RNA. NCBI's taxonomy places the organism in Bacteria, Bacillati, Cyanobacteriota, Cyanophyceae, Synechococcales, Synechococcaceae. The record is from Rfam.